CCUAAUCUGAUAGCUCAGUUGGUAGAGCAUGAGGCUCUUCAUCUGAGGGUUGUGGGUUCGAGGACAAAAGGAUUCCUGCAUUGCAGGA
This is a non-coding RNA of Podarcis lilfordi (Lilford's wall lizard), 88 nucleotides long. The record is from the annotation of a GenBank genome assembly. NCBI's taxonomy places the organism in Eukaryota, Metazoa, Chordata, Lepidosauria, Squamata, Lacertidae.